Molecule: ribosomal RNA, 124 nt
Organism: Fukomys damarensis (Damara mole-rat)
Lineage: Eukaryota; Metazoa; Chordata; Mammalia; Rodentia; Bathyergidae
Source: Ensembl
GUCUAUGGGCAUACCACCCUGAACAUGCCCAAUCUUAUCUGAUCUCAGAAGCUAAGCAUGAUUGGGCCUUAUUAGUACUUGGAUGGGAGAAUAAUGUUUAAUUCAGAAAUAAUAAGAAUAGACA